This 497-nucleotide ribosomal RNA is filed under the name uncultured bacterium. RNAcentral's name for it is "partial 16S ribosomal RNA". It matches the Rfam family "Bacterial small subunit ribosomal RNA", at positions 36 to 507 of the family's 1533-position model. The record is from RNAcentral.
UCUUCCCUCUGGCUUCGUGCCUAAUACAUGCAAGUCGAGCGAACGGACGAGAAGCUUGCUUCUCUGAUGUUAGCGGCGGACGGGUGAGUAACACGUGGAUAACCUACCUAUAAGACUGGGAUAACUUCGGGAAACCGGAGCUAAUACCGGAUAAUAUUUUGAACCGCAUGGUUCAAAAGUGAAAGACGGUCUUGCUGUCACUUAUAGAUGGAUCCGCGCUGCAUUAGCUAGUUGGUAAGGUAACGGCUUACCAAGGCAACGAUGCAUAGCCGACCUGAGAGGGUGAUCGGCCACACUGGAACUGAGACACGGUCCAGACUCCUACGGGAGGCAGCAGUAGGGAAUCUUCCGCAAUGGGCGAAAGCCUGACGGAGCAACGCCGCGUGAGUGAUGAAGGUCUUCGGAUCGUAAAACUCUGUUAUUAGGGAAGAACAUAUGUGUAAGUAACUGUGCACAUCUUGACGGUACCUAAUCAGAAAGCCACGGCUAACUACGUG